This 380-nucleotide ribosomal RNA is filed under the name uncultured eukaryote. RNAcentral's name for it is "partial 18S ribosomal RNA". It matches the Rfam family "Eukaryotic small subunit ribosomal RNA", at positions 592 to 976 of the family's 1831-position model. The record is from RNAcentral.
CAAUAGCGUAUAUUAAAGUUGUUGCAGUUAAAAAGCUCGUAGUUGGAUUUGUGGCGUACGGUGUGUUCCGGGCACUUGUUGUCUGAGUAACCUGCUGUUGCCAUCCUUGGGUGGAACCUGUGUGGCAUUAGGUUGUCGUGCAGGGGAUGCCCAUCAUUUACUGUGAAAAAAUUAGAGUGUUCAAAGCAGGCUUAUGCCGUUGAAUAUAUUAGCAUGGAAUAAUGAGAUAGGACUUUUUUGCUAUUUUGUUGGUUUGCGCAAAGAGGUAAUGAUUAAUAGGGACUGUUGGGGGUAUUCGUAUUCCAUUGUCAGAGGUGAAAUUCUUGGAUUUUUGGAAGACGAACUACUGCGAAAGCAUUUACCAAGGAUGUUUUCAUUAA